GAAUAUCUUGAGAGCUGAAACUAUUAGUGGAUUUAUCAGUAAACAAAGUAUUUUUUCAAAGCUCAAUACCACACAUCUGUCCAUUAAUCAAAGCUAGUAACUCUUUCAUGUUAAUUACAUUUAAACUUAAUGGAUUACUGCAAAAGCCAGUAGUUUCUUUUUUAAGGAUUACUUUUUGGGGCUUUUCCCUUUUAUUCAACAGCAACAGCGGACAGACAUGAAUGAGGGGAUGACACGCAGCAAAGGGCCGCAGGUCCGAUUUGACCCGGGGCGCCUUAAAGGACUCGGCCCACACGGGGCGCACGCUCCUACUGGGUGAGCUAGAGUCCGCCCCGAGCCAGUAGUUUUACUUUAUAUUUACUUCAGCUGUUCAGAUUAAGGCUGCAAGUAACAAUUAUAAUGGAUUAUAGAUUAUUUAAUAAUUGCUUUUUUAUUAUCUUGAUUACUCAUCUUUUCGUGUAUAAACUGUCACAAAAUAUUGAUGACUUUCCAUCACAUCAUCCUUCUUCAAAUGGCUUGUUUUUGUCUAGCUCACAGUCCAAAGCUGAAAGAUUUUCAAUUUACGGUCAUAGAAAACUUAAGAAGCUGGAGAAAGUGAUAGACUGAUAUUUAGGGGGAAUACAUGUUUUUUUUUUUUUUAAGAGAGUUGGAUGAGAAGAUAAACACCACUUUCAAAUCUGUCUGUUAAAUUUCAAACAUUAAGCUAACAGCUAGCAUCUGGUUAGGGUGAACCACUACAGGCAGAACAAUGGUUUCUUUCAUGCACUGGUCAUUUUUAAGAUGGGUUAUAUUGCAUCUAUUCAUUCAGAUUAGUGGGGAAAAAAACACUCAAUGCACAUCUAGGUGUUUAUUUUACUACACUUUGUACAUUUCUUCUAAAUUCACCGACACUUAGAAUUUGAUAAUGCCUUAUUUGCAUAUUUAAACUUGAAAUACAAAAUAGAAUUUUUGUUAUAUAAGUAAUCAACAGGGGGAAGUUUCAUGGUGAUACAGUAUGUUAAAACUAUUCACCUGUAGUGUCUUGCAAAGAUGAAAAGUAUGAAUUUCACAUUAAUAUCUUUAGAGGGCUGUUCUCAUACUCUGAGCCAGAAAUCUGCUCUCCACUAAAUGGACUGACUGUAUUUAUAUACAGACACCAUUAACGACCACUCAAAGCACUUUUAACAGUAAAGCUGUUCACACACUUGCCCAAGGACACUUCAACAUGCAGGGCCAGGGAUCGAACCGCCAACCUUCUGAUUGGUCGGCGACCGCUCUACCACCUGUGUCACAGCCACUCAAAUUGCAAGUAUUGCUUACUCUACAUACACUGAACUUUGCCCUUGUAUUCCUACUGUAUAUAUUUUACAGAAGGGUUUGUUUAUAAAUCAUUCAUAGCCUGAUUUACAUAACAUUUCUAAAAACAUGGUUAAAAAAAUUUUUUUUUUUUUUCUUUCAUGGCUGACAGUAUUUUCUGAUUUAUUCUGAUAUGUCUAAAAUUCCCUCUGUAAAAACAAAAUAGGAAUUUUGAAUCUGGAUUUAUCCAAUGUUUAGAUUUCCGUUCUGGAAAUGUUAAAGGUUAUAAUUGGUAAUUAUCUGAAGUAAAUACUUGAUGGUAAGACAUACUGUGAUUUUGGGCAACAUAAAUAAAAGUGCCUUGACCAUCUUCCUGUACAAAAUGAGAACGAGCAAGACACUCAUCUUUUGUAGAAAAAUGAAAAAAUAUUCUCAUUUAUUGAGGUAAUUUUCUCUAGACAAAAACUGAGGUAACAAUUUGCAUAGUAUAACUUCCAUAAAUUCACACGCGCACACACAUCCAUGGGGUGGUAACCAAACAUGUGUCACUACGUCU
This is a long non-coding RNA of Etheostoma spectabile (orangethroat darter), 1831 nucleotides long. RefSeq lists it as uncharacterized. The transcript has 3 exons. NCBI's taxonomy places the organism in Eukaryota, Metazoa, Chordata, Actinopteri, Perciformes, Percidae. The record is from RefSeq and is a predicted model, not a curated record.